AGGGAAUCUUCCGCAAUGGACGAAAGUCUGAUGCAGCAACGCCGCGUGAGUGAUGAAGGUCUUCGGAUUGUAAAGCUCUGUCUUCUGGGACGAUAAUGACGGUACCAGAGGAGGAAGCCACGGCUAACUACGUGCCAGCAGCCGCGGUAAUACGUAGGUGGCAAGCGUUGUCCGGAAUUACUGGGCGUAAAGGGUGCGCAGGCGGACAUUUAAGUGAGAUGUGAAAGACCCGGGCUUAACUUGGGCAGUGCAUUUCAAACUGGAUGUCUGGAGUGCAGGAGAGGAGAACGGAAUUCCUAGUGUAGCGGUGAAAUGCGUAGAGAUUAGGAAGAACACCAGUGGCGAAGGCGGUUCUCUGGACUGUAACUGACGCUGAGGCACGAAAGCGUGGGUAGCAAAC
This 400-nucleotide ribosomal RNA is filed under the name uncultured bacterium. RNAcentral's name for it is "bacterial SSU rRNA". It matches the Rfam family "Bacterial small subunit ribosomal RNA", at positions 356 to 773 of the family's 1533-position model. The record is from RNAcentral.